This 262-nucleotide ribosomal RNA is filed under the name uncultured bacterium. RNAcentral's name for it is "partial 16S ribosomal RNA". It matches the Rfam family "Bacterial small subunit ribosomal RNA", at positions 793 to 1055 of the family's 1533-position model. The record is from RNAcentral.
GUCCACGCCGUAAACGUUGGGAACUAGGUGUGGGCGACAUUCCACGUCGUCCGUGCCGCAGCUAACGCAUUAAGUUCCCCGCCUGGGGAGUACGGCCGCAAGGCUAAAACUCAAAGGAAUUGACGGGGCCCGCACAAGCAGCGGAGCAUGUGGCUUAAUUCGACGCAACGCGAAGAACCUUACCAAGGCUUGACAUACACCGGAAAACCCUGGAGACAGGGUCCCCCUUGUGGUCGGUGUACAGGUGGUGCAUGGCUGUCGU